This 3065-nucleotide long non-coding RNA is filed under the name Canis lupus familiaris (dog). Its description in RNAcentral is "lncRNA (ENSCAFG00030011287.1)". The record is from RNAcentral. Lineage: Eukaryota; Metazoa; Chordata; Mammalia; Carnivora; Canidae.
GUGGCCCGGAGGCGCGCGGAGCGGCGGGCGCUGCGGUGUGAGCUGAGUGUGAAGGUGUUCGGGCACGAGCUGAGCUAUGUGAACUGCGGGGUGAUGGGGAGCCACGUGAAACGCCAGUCCUUGCACCUGGCCGAGCUGGCAGCCAAACUCCUGAAGGUACCUCCGGCUGGGCUCAGCCCCAGCCCGCUCUGCCGGCCCUGUGGGGUUUCCUUCAAUGUUUUGGGGGGAAAGUACUAAGGUACUUUCCAGACUUAUGACCGUGGUAUUUCGGGCCAGGCUGCCCAAGUUCAAAUCAUGGCCCCGCCUCUCACCUGCGGGGGAGCCAAUGCUUGUCAUGGCCUCGGUUUGUGCAUCUGUGAAAUGGGCACCAUAGCAUGACAAUAGUGAUAGUAACAAAAGCAGCAGCUACUUUAUGGGGCGGUUGUUCUAAAUGACCUAAUGCAGUAAAAAAAAAAAAAAAAAAAAAAGAAAAAGAAAAAAAAAAGAAAAAAGAAAAGAAAAAUGCAACCAAAUGUUUAGAAUGCACCUGGCAUGUGCUAAGUGCUCUGCAUCGUGCUCAGGGCUCACAUUCCUCCUUACCUGACUCACCCUGGAUCCCGGACCACUGACCCUUUUCCAUAGUAAACUAACUGGACUUGAACUCAGCUCCACCUGUUUCUACCUAUGUAGGUUUGGCCAGGUGAUCUCAUCUGUUUGUGUGCUCAGUUUUCUCAGCUGGAAACAAGGGAUGAUGUUCAUGUCCCUUCCUCUCCCCGCCCCACCCUGUGUGAGGAUCCAUGCCCGGGGCUGUCACCUGCAUCAUUACGGUUCUGUGGCUGCAGGGACAGGAGGUACAGGUGAACCGGAGGCUGAACCUGGCCACGCAGGAGCUCACCUUCCCCACCGUGUCUGGCCUUCCAGCCCGGCUGACCCUAAAUGCCUCGGCUGCCAUCGGCGUCCGAGUCCGGGGGACUGCCGACUUCCAGCAGCACCUGGAUUUCUCCGUGAAUGGUUAUGUCAAGCCCAGUGCCCUGCUCCAGAUCUCAGCGCAGAUGGGCACAGUGGGCGCCCUGGGGCAGGCCGGGCUGCGGUGGGUGACCAGCGUCCGUGGCACUGCCAGCCUGGAUGGUGGGAUUGAGGCGAGGAAGGGCCGGGACCUCCACGUGCACCUGAACACCCCCGAGGAGGCUGUGGAGCUGCUCAGCUUCAGCUCCAAGCUGUAUCUCGUCACUGGGGAUGGCGUGAGGAGCCUCAGUGAUGUUCACAGCCCUUCUGGGGCCCAGUCCUGUACUGACGAGAAAGGUAGGUGGGGCGAGGGGGGGUCCUUGCCAUGCUCUCCCAAGCUGGGCAUGUGGGGGCCAUGCCAGCUCCAGAUGCUAGAGUAGCUCUUCUGCCUAAAUUUAUACUCCUCCUUUGAUUCUGCUUCUAGAACUCUAUCCUAUGAAAAUAAACCAAAAUCACUUUAAAAUGCAUUGUGGGGCAGCCCUGGUGGCGCAGCGGUUUGGCGCUGCCUGCAGCCUGGGGUGUGAUCCUGGAGACCUGGGAUCAAGUCCCACGUCGGGCUCCCUGCAUGGAGCCUGCUUCUCCCUCCACCUGUGUCUCUGCCUCUCUCUCUGUCUAUGAAUAAAUAAAUAAAAUCUUAAAAAAAUAAAAAAUAAAAAAAAUGUGCUGUGUGCAGAGAUUAUCUGCAAGGGCAAAAAACCCCACGAAGCGGCUCAGUUAUCCGGUGUCGGUGAACGGCUCGUUACAAGGGCUUGCAAGCUGUGCCUAGGUUGUGACCUUUUCCAAUGGUUGAAAAGUAAUCAAAGAAUAUUUCACAUGUGAAAAAUUGGUGAAAUUCAUGUUGCAUCGGCCAGCAAUAAAGUUUUAUUGGUACAUGGCCACGCCCAUUUGCUUACCAGUCGUCUUUGGCUGCUUUGGUCAAUCCACGCGCGGCAGAGCUGAGUAGUUGUGACAGACCCUGUGAUCGGCAACGCACCAGGUAUUUCCUAUUUGGCCAUUUCUAGGAAAAAAAAAAAAGAAUUCUCCAACUUCUGGUUUCGUGAACCACCUGAGAUAUCCUGUAACUUUAAAACCCUGUAAUGAAGGAGAUAUUUUAAUAAUACUAGAAAAUUCUUUGAUAAUAACAUCAGUGAAGGGGCAACAAAAAUUGGAAAAAAAGGGGAUCCCUGUGUGGCUCAGCGGUUUGGCACCUGCCUUUGGCCCAGGGCGCGAUCCUGGAGUCCCAGGAUCGAGUCCCACGUCAGGCUCCCGGCAUGGAGCCUGCUUCUCCCUCCUCCUGUGUCACUGCCCCUUCUCUCUCUCUCUCUCUUUCUAUGUCUAUCAUGAAUAAAUAAAUAAAUCUUUUUUAAAAAUGAAAAAAGAUGGGAAGGAAAUGCACUGAACAGUAGUGGAUCUUGCAGGUGUCACUUUUUUUGAGUAAGGUGGGGGAGGGGCCCAUCUAAAUGAAUUGGCUCCUUUUUUUUUUAAGAUUUUAUUUAUUCAUGAGAGAUACAGAGAAAAGCAGAGACACAGGCAGAGGGAGAAGCAGGCUCUCUGCGGGGAACCCGAUGCGGGACUCGAUCCCAGGACCCCGGGAUCAUGCAGACACUCAACUGCUGAGCCUCCCAGGCGCCCCAUGAGUUGACUCCUUUAGGCGGGGCGCUGUCCUAAACAGACCUGCCGGUCCUCCCAGCUGUACCGUGAGGCAGGAACUGUUACCGGUCCCGGUUUAUAGGUGAGAACACUGAGGCACAGAGCUGUUGAGUAAUCUGCCCAAGGCCACACAGCUGGAAAGUGGCAGAGCUGGAAUUAGGAAUCAGGCGGUCUUGCCCUGGAGCCCGCCUUCUGUGCACUGCUGCCUCUCACUCUUACGGUCUAUACCAGGGGUCCUCCAGCGGAGGCGGUUUUGCCCCCCACCCCCGGGGCCCUUCGGCAAUGUCUGGAGCCAUCUGGGUUGUCACCACUGUUGCUGGGGUUGCCACUGACGUGCAGCAAGUGUGGCCCCGCUCUGCUGGCCAGCAUCCUCCGAGAUGGCUCCCAGCACACAGACCUACCCAGCCCGGUAGGGCAGGGGCGUCUGGGGUUGCGGGACCCUGGUCUACACG